This 521-nucleotide ribosomal RNA is filed under the name uncultured bacterium. Its description in RNAcentral is "bacterial SSU rRNA". It matches the Rfam family "Bacterial small subunit ribosomal RNA", at positions 777 to 1297 of the family's 1533-position model. The record is from RNAcentral.
AAUAGAUACCCCGGUAGUCCACGCCGUAAACGAUGAGUGCUAAGUGUUAGAGGGUUUCCGCCCUUUAGUGCUGCAGCUAACGCAUUAAGCACUCCGCCUGGGGAGUACGGCCGCAAGGCUGAAACUCAAAGGAAUUGACGGGGGCCCGCACAAGCGGUGGAGCAUGUGGUUUAAUUCGAAGCAACGCGAAGAACCUUACCAGGUCUUGACAUCCUUUGCCAACCCUAGAGAUAGGGCGUUCCCCUUCGGGGGACAGAGUGACAGGUGGUGCAUGGUUGUCGUCAGCUCGUGUCGUGAGAUGUUGGGUUAAGUCCCGCAACGAGCGCAACCCUUGAUCUUAGUUGCCAGCAUUCAGUUGGGCACUCUAAGGUGACUGCCGGUGACAAACCGGAGGAAGUGGGGAUGACGUCAAAUCAUCAUGCCCCUUAUGACCUGGGCUACACACGUGCUACAAUGGAUGGUACAAAGAGCUGCGAACCCGCGAGGGUAAGCGAAUCUCAUAAAGCCAUUCUCAGUUCGGA